RNAcentral lists this ribosomal RNA (301 nucleotides) under uncultured bacterium. RNAcentral's name for it is "partial 16S ribosomal RNA". It matches the Rfam family "Bacterial small subunit ribosomal RNA", at positions 509 to 807 of the family's 1533-position model. The record is from RNAcentral.
CAGUAGCCGCGGGAAUACGUAGGGUGCGAGCGUUAAUCGGAAUUACUGGGCGUAAAGCGUGCGCAGGCGGUUUUGUAAGACAGGCGUGAAAUCCCCGGGCUCAACCUGGGAAUGGCGCUUGUGACUGCAAAGCUAGAGUGCGGCAGAGGGGGAUGGAAUUCCGCGUGUAGCAGUGAAAUGCGUAGAUAUGCGGAGGAACACCGAUGGCGAAGGCAAUCCCCUGGGCCUGCACUGACGCUCAUGCACGAAAGCGGGGGGAGCAAACAGGAUUAGAUACCCGUGUAGUCCCUGUCUCUUAUAC